RNAcentral lists this long non-coding RNA (249 nucleotides) under Homo sapiens (human). RNAcentral's name for it is "HSALNT0103351". Lineage: Eukaryota; Metazoa; Chordata; Mammalia; Primates; Hominidae. The record is from RNAcentral.
UCUUGAACCCAAACAAAAGUGUGCACAUCCACGGGAGUCUCUCCCUGUCAACCUGCGCAGAAAGCACAGCCACAAGUGUAAUCCAAUACUGAGACAAGGACUGCUGUGGCUCUCCAGCCGCUUGAGAUGGGAGUGGAAGGACGCUGGAUGACCGAACAAAGACUGUCAGGGAAUAAGAGACCUUCAACAUGAGAGGAGCAGAAACCAAUACGGAUCAACAUUCCCUACUGAUACAAUUGAUUCAUUUUC